GCCGUUGUAGCUCAGUGGUAGAGCACCUCCAUGGUAAGGAGGGGGUCGUCAGUUCAAUCCUGACCAACGGCU
Molecule: transfer RNA, 72 nt
Filed under: bacterium
Lineage: Bacteria
Also listed under: 1 other name
Description: tRNA-Thr
Rfam family: tRNA
About the family: Transfer RNA (tRNA) molecules are approximately 80 nucleotides in length. Their secondary structure includes four short double-helical elements and three loops (D, anti-codon, and T loops).
Source: RNAcentral